GUGGCAGCCGCCGCGGUAAUACGAAGGGGGCUAGCGUUGCUCGGAAUUACUGGGCGUAAAGGGCGCGUAGGCGGAUAGUUUAGUCAGAGGUGAAAGCCCAGGGCUCAACCCUGGAAUUGCCUUUGAUACUGGCUAUCUUGAGUUCGGGAGAGGUGAGUGGAAUGCCGAGUGUAGAGGUGAAAUUCGUAGAUAUUCGGCGGAACACCAGUGGCGAAGGCGACUCACUGGCCCGAUACUGACGCUGAGGCGCGAAAGCGUGGGGAGCAAACAGGAUUAGAUACCCCAGUAGUC
RNAcentral lists this ribosomal RNA (291 nucleotides) under uncultured Phenylobacterium sp. RNAcentral describes it as "partial 16S ribosomal RNA". It matches the Rfam family "Bacterial small subunit ribosomal RNA", at positions 505 to 795 of the family's 1533-position model. Lineage: Bacteria; Pseudomonadati; Pseudomonadota; Alphaproteobacteria; Caulobacterales; Caulobacteraceae. The record is from RNAcentral.